Molecule: non-coding RNA, 112 nt
Filed under: Octodon degus (degu)
Lineage: Eukaryota; Metazoa; Chordata; Mammalia; Rodentia; Octodontidae
Source: RNAcentral
GGCCACUUGCUGUUUGUCUAUUGGGAAUACCUUUGCUCCUCAACCUGGGAUGGAGGCCAAGAUCAGCCCUGGAGGAACACAGGGUGGUGCAAAAGGGCAGCCUUAGAUAUUU